GCCGGGCGUGGUGGGGCAUGCCUGUAAUCCCAGUGGCUUGGGAGGCUGAGGCAGGAGGUUUACAAUUUCAAAGCCAGCCUCAGCAACUUAGUGAGGCGCUAGACAACUCAGUAAGACCCUGUCUCUA
RNAcentral lists this small RNA (127 nucleotides) under Marmota monax (woodchuck). Lineage: Eukaryota; Metazoa; Chordata; Mammalia; Rodentia; Sciuridae. The record is from RNAcentral.